ACUAGUUGCCUCUCCUUUGGAAGCAAGAUUUCUAUAAUUGGCAGCUGGUAUCUUUCUUCAGGGCCUAAACAUGUUGCUGGAUCUUUCUAAAUAGACCUGUUGUUGCAUGCAAAAGAACAUCAAGAGAAUACUGAGGAAAAGAAAUCCUCAAUUGAUUAGAAUCCAACUUCUUGAAGUACAGCUGCGAACUAAGGAAACACAGUAAAGAGCUAACAAGAAAAAUUUGAACAAAUUACUGAAGCUAUUGUAUGAUUAAACAGUGCAACUCUAAUGGCUUGGAAUUACCAAGGAGACUGAAGUAGCAAAUGACAAUAAUACCCUGGAAGUAGGUUAGCAUGUCAUGUUUGGGGGAGGCUUGCUAGCAACUCCACGAGGCAACAGCUGUUUUCAAGGACAUGUGACAAGAAGAAAUCUCCUUUGGUAAAUAUGCAAGUUUCCUGAUUUGUUUUCGUUUUGUUGAAAAAAACCCACAACAACAUACUUACUAAUUUUCAAAUAUUUUUUUUUAAUUAAAAUGACAGUUUACAGCUAUUUUUAAAAAAGGUCUUCCUUAAUAAUAGUUAAGAAAGAGCAGGGAGGAGGUUUGUUAUGUUUAGAUAUUUUUAAAUGCUAUAGUCAGGCUUGUAAAAAUGUAUUAACAUCUUCUAAAAUUACUGACUCCAUAAAUAAACAGUAAGCAUGAUUUACUAAGCA
This 693-nucleotide long non-coding RNA is filed under the name Chrysemys picta bellii (western painted turtle). RNAcentral describes it as "lncRNA (ENSCPBG00000008642.1)". The record is from RNAcentral. Lineage: Eukaryota; Metazoa; Chordata; Testudines; Emydidae.